This 86-nucleotide transfer RNA is filed under the name Candidatus Aalborgicola bjergmarkensis. RNAcentral describes it as "tRNA-Leu". It matches the Rfam family "tRNA". From Rfam's summary of the family: Transfer RNA (tRNA) molecules are approximately 80 nucleotides in length. The record is from RNAcentral. Lineage: Bacteria; Pseudomonadati; Pseudomonadota; Betaproteobacteria; Burkholderiales; Comamonadaceae.
GCGAGGGUGGCGUAAUUGGUAGCCGCAACACGUUUAGGUCGUGUCGUCCUUCGGAUGUAGGGGUUCGAGUCCCCUCCCUCGCACCA